CCUACGGGAGGCAGCAGUGGGGAAUAUUGCACAAUGGGGGAAACCCUGAUGCAGCGACGCCGCGUGAGGGAAGAAGUAUCACGGUAUGUAAAGCUCUGUUAGCAGGGAAGAAAAUGACGGUACCUGACUAAGAAGCCCUGGAUAACUACGUGCCAGCAGCCGCGGCAAUACGUAGGGUGCAAGCGUUAUCCGGAUUUACUGGGCGUAAAGGGAGCGUAGAGGGCGCUGCAAGUCCGGAGUGAAAGCCCAUGGCUUAACCAUGGUACUGCUGUGGAAACUGUGGAGCUUGAGUGCGGGAGGGGCAGGCGGAAUGCCUGGUGUAGCGGUGAAAUGCGUAGAUAUUAGGAGGAACACCGGCGGCGAAGGCGGCCUGCUGGACCGUAACUGACGUUGAGGCUCGAAAGCGUGGGGAGCAAACAGGAUUAGAUACCCCUGUAGUC
This 440-nucleotide ribosomal RNA is filed under the name uncultured bacterium. RNAcentral describes it as "partial 16S ribosomal RNA". It matches the Rfam family "Bacterial small subunit ribosomal RNA", at positions 338 to 795 of the family's 1533-position model. The record is from RNAcentral.